CCUACGGGAGGCAGCAGUGGGGAAUUUUGGACAAUGGGCGAAAGCCUGAUCCAGCCAUGCCGCGUGCAGGAUGAAGGCCUUCGGGUUGUAAACUGCUUUUGUACGGAACGAAAAGGUCUUUUCUAAUAAAGAGGGCCCAUGACGGUACCGUAAGAAUAAGCACCGGCUAACUACGUGCCAGCAGCCGCGGUAAUACGUAGGGUGCAAGCGUUAAUCGGAAUUACUGGGCGUAAAGCGUGCGCAGGCGGUUAUAUAAGACAGUUGUGAAAUCCCCGGGCUCAACCUGGGAACUGCAUCUGUGACUGUAUAGCUAGAGUACGGUAGAGGGGGAUGGAAUUCCGCGUGUAGCAGUGAAAUGCGUAGAUAUGCGGAGGAACACCGAUGGCGAAGGCAAUCCCCUGGACCUGUACUGACGCUCAUGCACGAAAGCGUGGGGAGCAAACAGGAUUAGAUACCCUGGUAGUCCACGCCCUAAACGAUGUCAACUGGUUGUUGGGUCUUCACUGACUCAGUAACGAAGCUAACGCGUGAAGUUGACCGCCUGGGGAGUACGGCCGCAAGGUUGAAACUCAAAUGAAUUGACGG
Molecule: ribosomal RNA, 585 nt
Filed under: uncultured bacterium
Lineage: Bacteria
Description: bacterial SSU rRNA
Rfam family: Bacterial small subunit ribosomal RNA
Source: RNAcentral